This 253-nucleotide ribosomal RNA is filed under the name uncultured bacterium. Its description in RNAcentral is "partial 16S ribosomal RNA". It matches the Rfam family "Bacterial small subunit ribosomal RNA", at positions 524 to 776 of the family's 1533-position model. The record is from RNAcentral.
UACGAAGGGGGCUAGCGUUGCUCGGAAUCACUGGGCGUAAAGCGCACGUAGGCGGAUUGCUAAGUCAGGGGUGAAAUCCCGGAGCUCAACUCCGGAACUGCCUUUGAUACUGGAGAUCUUGAGUCCGGGAGAGGUGAGUGGAACUCCGAGUGUAGAGGUGAAAUUCGUAGAUAUUCGGAAGAACACCAGUGGCGAAGGCGGCUCACUGGCCCGGUACUGACGCUGAGGUGCGAAAGCGUGGGGAGCAAACAGG